CCUCCUCCGAUUCCCACAAUUCUGCCCGCAGCUAAGAUGGCGGCGAUAGUAAAUAGCUGCGUGAGAUGCUUUCUCCGGUUGCCCUGCAACUGGCAUUACAGCUCUUUCCAAUCUCGCUCAACUGCCUCCUUGUCCUCCGCGCACGUGCGCCAGAUGUUCCUCCAGUUCUUCCAGGAGCGGCACGCGCAUCAAGUCGUUCCCUCGGCUUCUGUGAGGCCGCGAAACGAUCCCGGGCUGCUGUUCGUGAACGCGGGAAUGAACCAGUUCAAACCCAUCUUCCUGGGCACAGCAGAUCCUCAAAGUGAGCUUAAACGUUACCGCCGAAUUGUGAACACCCAGAAGUGUGUGCGGGCAGGUGGAAAGCACAAUGAUUUGGAGGAUGUGGGUCGAGAUGUUUAUCAUCAUACUUUCUUUGAAAUGCUUGGGAACUGGUCCUUUGGUGAUUAUUUCAAAGAGGAAGCAUGUAAGAUGGCAUGGGAGCUCCUGACACAUGUCUAUGAAAUUCCAAAGGACCAGCUUUAUGUCACUUACUUUGAAGGUGAUGUUUCACUUGGUUUAACUGCUGAUGAAGAGUGUAGGGAUAUAUGGCUUACACUUGGCGUGCCCCCUAGCCAUGUUCUUCCUUUUCACCUGAAAGAUAACUUCUGGGAGAUGGGGGACACUGGUCCCUGUGGGCCCUGCACAGAAAUCCAUUAUGAUCAUAUAGGGGGUGGAAGAAAUGCAGCAGCGCUCGUGAAUCAGGGCUGUCCUGAUGUGGUGGAGAUCUGGAAUCUCGUUUUCAUACAGUACAAUAGAGAGGCCAAUGGGAGUUUGCGCCAUCUGCCUCAGCAUCAUGUGGACACCGGAAUGGGCUUAGAAAGGUUGAUGACUGUUCUUCAAAACAAACGCUCCAAUUAUGACACUGACCUCUUCACCCCAAUCCUGGAUGCCAUUCAUAAGGGCUGUGGUGGACCUGGUUACCAAGGCUUGGUUGGCGAGACUGACCCAGGGGGAAUGAACAUGGCAUACAGAGUAGUGGCAGAUCACGUGCGUGCUUUAUCUGUAUGCAUUGCGGACGGGAUUUUCCCAGGCAUGGCUGGUGCCGAGCUUGUUCUGCGUCAUAUCUUGCGCAGGGCUGUGCGAUUUUCUUCAGAGGUUCUCCAUGCUCCACCCGGGUUCUUGGCGAGUUUGGUUCCUGUUGUGGUAGAAAUUCUGGGAGAUGCUUAUCCAGAACUAAAGAGGGACCCAGACAAGAUUAUGAAUAUCAUCAAUGAAAAUGAAGCAGCAUUUUUCUCUUCUCUCUUACAAGGACGCCGAGUUAUAAACCGAACUCUCCAGAAAUUGAAUCAUUCCCAAGUCUUCCCAGGUGAGGUAGCUUGGUCUCUCUAUAGAAAUUUGGGAUUCCCCCUGGAUCUCAUUAAAUUGAUGCUUGAAGAAAAAGGAGUACAGCUAGACAUUGCUACUUUUGAUCAUCUGGCUCAGGAACAUGCUGAACACAAUGCUAAGUUGCAACAGCAACAGCAACCACAGAGUCCUGGGAAGCAGCUGGAUGUGCUUUCAUUGGCCCAAUUGCAGGAGCGGAAUGUGCCUAUUACUGAUGAUUCCCCCAAGUAUGACUAUAAACUUGAACAAGAUGGGAAAUAUGUGUUUAAGCCAUGCCAAGCCACCGUCUUAGCACUCUAUAGAAAUCAGACUCUUCAAGAGGAAAUUUCAGGAAAACAGCACUGUGGGGUCCUGUUAAACAAGACUUGUUUCUACGCUGAACAGGGUGGUCAGGCAUCUGAUCAAGGCUAUAUGUUGUGUGACAGACAGCAGGAUGUACUUUUCCCUGUUGAAUCAGUACAAGUAUUUGGUGGCUAUGUAAUCCAUGAAGUCUUCGUUUCAGAAACCCUGAAGGUUGGGGACCAAGUACAACUCUUUGUGGAUGAGGCUCAGAGGCUAGCCUCCAUGAGGAACCACACAGCUACCCACUUGUUAAACUUUGCACUCCGCCAAGUCUUGGGAGACUGCACAGAACAGCAGGGAUCCAGUGUGACUGCUGAGCAUCUGCGAUUUUUUGUCAACACCAAGGUUCCCAUAAAAACAGAAAAUCUGCAAGAGGUAGAAAGUGUGGUCCAAGAGAUGAUCAAAAGGAAUGAAACUGUCUAUACACGAAAAGCUCCCCUUAAUCAGACCAGUGAUGUUCUAGGACUCCGGAAACUGGAUACGGUGUAUCCCGAUCUGGUUCGUAUUGUGUCAGUAGGUGUCCCAGUUGAAAAAGUCUUGGCUGAGGGUUCCAAACAUGCAGUGAAUACCUCUGUGGAACUGUGCUGUGGAGUACACCUUCUGCAAACAGGAGAUGUACAAGAUUUCACCAUCAUCUCAGAGCAGCAGAUGGCUAAAGGAAUCAGCCAUAUUGUUGCAGUGACAGGAGAGCAAGCCAGACAAGCUCAGGAUAUUGGCCAGUUCUUGGCCACAGAGGUGGAUUCCCUUGCUACCCGAGUGAAAGUGGGAGGAGCCUCAGUCAGUGAAGCGUGGCGAAUCUCCAAGGAAGUUGGUCAUCUGACUGAUAGGGUGGAUACUACCAAGAUGCCUCAGUGGCAGAAAAGAAAACUGCAGGCUUCUCUCAAAACACUGCAGCAAGCAGCCAAUAAUGCCCAUAGGAAAAUGGAAAUCAGACUGGCUGCAGAGAAGGUGCAGGACUUGCUGACAAAGUAUUCCAAUGAGCCAGUCAUUAUUGACACUAUUCCUGCUGAGACACCCUAUAUCUUGAUGAAAGCAGUCAAUCAACUGUGUAACAAAGUACCAGGGGCUUCUGUGAUGUUGUUUAGCUCACCAGUACCAGGCCAGGUGUUUUGCGCUUGCCAGAUAUCCAAGAGUUCAUUAUCAAAGGCUUCGGCAGCUGACUGGGCUCUCGCUGUUUGUACUCAAAUGGGAGGCAAAGCAGAAGGUUCUGGAAUUGUAGCUAAAGGCAUGGCGAAGACUGAUGAUGUACAGAUGAUAUUGGCAGCAGCCCAGGAAUAUGCAAAGAAUGUAUUUUGAUGCUUGAUUGUGAGGAAUCUGGAUGUUCAUUUGAAUGAUUGUGAAUCCCUAUCAACUUUGUACAAUAUGGUCCUGCAAUCCUGUGGAUUCUUCUGGAUUAUUGAAUUGGUAGAAUGAGCUGCUUUGGCUAGCCGAUGUAUAUAAAAUAACUUCUUUCAUGAAAUACAAUUUGCACAUGAUGUUAAGAAGAACAACAAAGAUUAUCCUUUGACCAGCCACAUAAGCACAAGGCAAGCCAACCAUACAGAUUUUCAAAUGGCAACAGACCUACCUGGAGCUCUUUGUGCACUUGCCACAGAUCUCUUAAGCCAGUGUUUUUGAAAGGCAGCCCAAUAUGGCAUUAGUAUGCUGGAGACUGAAUCCUUCAGACUGUCAAAUAAACUUGGAGGUGGAAUCUCCUUCUGGAGGGCCUGCUCAGCUGCCCGGAUAGCUCUGCCCAGCCUCUUAUUAUCCACUGCCACCUGCGGGGCAAUCCAAAGACAUUUAACAUUCUGCACGACAAGAUGAUCCCUGGAACUAUAGCUCCUUCUACCUUUUCUUCUCCAAUCACACAAUAAGACCCAGAUAUAAUUAUCUGGAGGUCAACUGUAUGAUCUUCCCUUAUUUUCCUGCAAUUUUGAUCUCUGUUGGGAUGGAAUCUGGUUUCACUGUUAAAAUUACGGUACUAAAGCAGCAGUAAAUGAUCAGCCAGGACAUUCUCUAGAUAAAAGAAGCUGAAAUAAAUUUAGCUAAUGGGAGGUAGAUGAUGGCAUUUUAUUAUUUUAGCAUUGCUUCUUUGGGAGGGAAUACUGACUACUAGAUUGUUAGGCUUCUCAAGGCUUCCUAGGAAAUUUUCUCUGAAGUUCUUGAUGCUAUUGUUUUGACUCCUUGUCAAAUUCCUGGGCAAGUUAUAGUAUCAGUGAUGCUAGUUUCUUUCACAGAUGCUUAUGUGACUACCAUUUAUUUGUUAA
Crotalus tigris (Tiger rattlesnake) is the source of this 3950-nucleotide RNA transcript. It is a transcript of the gene named alanyl-tRNA synthetase 2, mitochondrial, with no coding region annotated. NCBI's taxonomy places the organism in Eukaryota, Metazoa, Chordata, Lepidosauria, Squamata, Viperidae. The record is from RefSeq and is a predicted model, not a curated record. The transcript is spliced from 23 exons.